RNAcentral lists this long non-coding RNA (2325 nucleotides) under Brassica napus (rape). RNAcentral's name for it is "long non-coding RNA (BNAP_LNC026665)". The record is from RNAcentral. Lineage: Eukaryota; Viridiplantae; Streptophyta; Magnoliopsida; Brassicales; Brassicaceae.
CAGAAGACGACGCUGAGAGUCGCGACUUUCAUGAACUGGGAGCGAGAUUUGAGGUGCUGGAGAGGGACGAGCUUGAGGAAGACGAUGGAGAGGUAGCUGAGGAUGGCGCAGGCGGACAUGUGGCACAUCGUGAGGAAGAUGGGGAAUUUGAAUCCGUAGUUUGAGAGGAGGAACUUGUUGAGGAGAAGGACGCCGAUGUUGGAGGUGUACCAGAGGAUGAUUAGGGAUAAUAUGAAGAGGGUUUGUUUCUUCGGGGAAGAUGAUGAAGAAGACGACGAUGAGGACAUUUCUGGUUUUUGAUCUGGGUUCUUCUUGUUGUUGUUCAUCUUCUUCGUUGAUGAGAUGAAAUCGAAAUGUGGUUGGAGUUUUUGAUAGGAGACGAGAUAAAUUAGCUCCUUGCCUCGUGCAUGGGGAUGAGAGAAAGUAUUGAACUGUUGUGUUAGUAAACGUAAUUAAUGCAACAUUAUUAAAUUUAUAAGACAAUUGAUCAUCUUAAAAGCAAUUUAGGAUUUUUUUUUUUUGUCAAAUUGGUAUUCAUGGCAGUUUGUUUUCCUCGGAUUAGGUAAGAAAUUUGGAUAAUUGGUCCACGAUCUAGAUUUAUUAUUUGUUAAGACAUGUGUUUUGUUUUCAGUUGUCUUUGAAUGCAAAUCUUCUGUUUUUGUAUGUUAAAUGAACUCUUACGUGUUAUAUACUACUCCCGAAUAUAUAUGACUUGGCUAAUAAGAUCGUUUCAGUUCCAAAGAGAGAGUCCCUUGAAGCUUCCGAACAUCGUGGCUUGAUUCCAGGCAGCGGAACGGGACAAUAGCGGCUUCAUCGACGACGACAAAGAGCUUCAGGGGGAAUGCUGGUGUAUUGGGUUGAGUCGAGCUAUAUAUUUAACUUUUUGCGGUUUUACGCCUACAUGAGAAUUACGGUUAGUCGAUCGAGGUCUUAACCAAUGACUUUUUGUUGUUGCUUCGCUUUUUCUCUGAGCUAUCCCAUGGCCGGUCAGCCAUCCACCUUUCCAACCAGCUCCAACCCUAAGCCGGGCUGUUAGGAUCCAUGAACAGCGUGUUUUCAGGUUUCAGGUUGCUCUUCAAGUCUUGCUGCAAGUAUAAGCCAGAUAAUAUCAUUAGGCAUUUAUACCAACCCGAUGCUACUGGCUACAAUUGUGAAGAUAUCAAACUUCAGGCCUCAUAGAAUUUUAAGGAGCUUUUAAAGACUGCAUUGUCUAGAAGUUCAACUUUAAUGGUCUUGCACGUUUCUAAAUGAUUACACAUAAGCCUCUAAACCCCUAAGUAUAAUAGCAUAGAAGAUAUAUCUGGUACACAUGAGAGUACCUGAUGUGUGAAUGCAUAAGCCAAUGCUCUUUUCCUUCUCAUUGUCGUCUCGUACUUAUUCAACAAACCUCCUUUGAGUGAUUGAUGUUGUUCCAGUUACAAAGGGUUGAAAAGCUAAUGCAUUCCCAAGAUCCACUCAUACGAAGUGACUGAGUUACAAAAAACGCUGGGCAGGAUAAUGAAACUUGGAAGUGGUAAAUGACAACUGCAUCUGAGAGUACACAAAAGUGACACUUUUAAUGCCUCUAAUCUCUUUAGCAUGAUUCUGAAGAAGUUACUUAUGGCCAGCCUGAUUCUCUUCUUACAUCAUGAUUCUCCUGGAACAGAUUUGUGACUGUACACGAAUGAGAAUCUAGAUAAAUUUAAGGUCAUUUGCAGCUAACUUAUUCCCUUAACUAAUUCAUUGAUUAAGGGAAUUAUUAGUUGAUGAAAAUCGCAAGGUCUCUGUUUUUGGGUCUUAAGGGUGUUUACCCCACUAGCGAUCACGACACCGGUAACAACAGGGACGAGAGCACCAUAAGUAAUCCAAGCCUCUCUCUUAAACGUCAUGAGAUACGCAAACAGCGCUGUGAAAAACGGCGUCGUAGCCCCCACGGCUUGAUUAAACGAAACAGGAAGAUAACGAAGGGAGACGUUUCCUCCAACAACGGAGGCGCAGAAGACGACGCUGAGAGUCGCGACUUUCAUGAACUGGGAGCGAGAUUUGAGGUGCUGGAGAGGGACGAGCUUGAGGAAGACGAUGGAGAGGUAGCUGAGGAUGGCGCAGGCGGACAUGUGGCACAUCGUGAGGAAGAUGGGGAAUUUGAAUCCGUAGUUUGAGAGGAGGAACUUGUUGAGGAGAAGGACGCCGAUGUUGGAGGUGUACCAGAGGAUGAUUAGGGAUAAUAUGAAGAGGGUUUGUUUCUUCGGGGAAGAUGAUGAAGAAGACGACGAUGAGGACAUUUCUGGUUUUUGAUCUGGGUUCUUCUUGUUGUUGUUCAUCUUCUUCGUUGAUGAGAUGAAAUCG